GAUGAACGCUGGCGGCGUGCCUAAUACAUGCAAGUCGAGCGAACAGACGAGGAGCUUGCUCCUCUGACGUUAGCGGCGGACGGGUGAGUAACACGUGGAUAACCUACCUAUAAGACUGGGAUAACUUCGGGAAACCGGAGCUAAUACCGGAUAAUAUAUUGAACCGCAUGGUUCAAUAGUGAAAGACGGUUUUGCUGUCACUUUUAGAUGAGUCCGCGCCGCAUUAGCUAGUUGGUAAGGUAACGGCUUACCAAGGCAACGAUGCGUAGCCGACCUGAGAGGGUGGAAGGCAACAUUGGGAAUGAGAUAAGGGCCAGACGGCUACGGGAGGCAGCAGUGGGGAAGAUUGCACAAUGGGAGCAAGCCUGAUGCAGCGAAGCAGAGUGGGGGAUGACGGACUUCGGGUUGUAAACGCAGUUCGCUAGGGACGAAGCUUUUUGUGACGGUACCUAGAGAAGAAGCACCGGCUAACUACGUG
RNAcentral lists this ribosomal RNA (478 nucleotides) under uncultured bacterium. RNAcentral's name for it is "partial 16S ribosomal RNA". It matches the Rfam family "Bacterial small subunit ribosomal RNA", at positions 28 to 507 of the family's 1533-position model. The record is from RNAcentral.